This 622-nucleotide ribosomal RNA is filed under the name uncultured fungus. RNAcentral describes it as "eukaryotic LSU rRNA". The stretch from base 249 to 402 matches the Rfam family "5.8S ribosomal RNA". Lineage: Eukaryota; Fungi. The record is from RNAcentral.
CUUGGUCGUUUAGAGGAAGUAAAAGUCGUAACAAGGUUUCCGUGAUUGAACGUGAGGAAGGAUCAUUUAAGAGUAACGGUGGUCAGAGCUCGACUUCCAACCCUGUGUUGUUAAAAUUACUUUGUUGAUUCGGCGGGACCGCUCGGUCUCGAGCCGGUGGGGAUUGGUCCCAGGAGAGUGCCCGCCAGACUUAAACCAAAAUCUUGUUAUUAAACCGGUCGUGUGAGUUCAAAUUUGGAAUAAAUCAAAACAUUCAACAACGGAUCUCUUGGUUCUUGCAUCGAUGAAGAACGCAGCGAAAUUCGAUAAGUAAUGUGAAUUGCAGAAUUCAGUGAAUCAUCGAAUCUUUGCACGCACAUUGCGCCCGAAGGUAUUCCGAGGGGCAUGCCUGUUCGAGCGUCAUUACACCACUCAAGCUAUGCUUGGUAUUGGGCGUCGUCGUUAGUUGGGCGCGCGAAAAAGACCUGGGCGAGGCCUCACCGGCUUUAGGAGUAGUAGAAUUUAUUCAAUAAAGUAAGUCAAUGGAGAGGAGUUGUGCAGAAUCAAACCUUUAUUUUUUUCAGGUUGACCUCGGAUCAGGUAGGGAUACCCGAUGAAUUUAAGCAUAUCAAUAAGCGGAGGA